CUUCUUUUAAUCACCACUUUAUCUCUUGAUCUUGACAUUUCAGCGCUGGUUUCUCUAGAUCUGAGGGAUCUUUGAAGUUCAUUUUAACCUGAUUUCCCCCGAGGAAAUAUAUCUCAGUACAAGGGGACUGCAUCCCAUGUGACUUGCCCCCAGGCCCCAAAGCCCUCCGGAGCCAGUCCCAGUCCACGGGCAACACACACAGGGAAUUUUAAUGCACAGUUAAUUGGAAGGUUUUUUACCAACCUUUGCCCUUUUACUUGCCCAGAGAGCAGUGUUUACCAUAGAAAAUAACAUUUGAAAAGCUUGCAAAAAGCUAAAAAAUAGGUUGUGACUUGUCAUAUGUUCUCGUGUGGGAGUCUUCAUUAUGGUGCAGGAUCAAAGCUUAAUGAGUGAAUGCACUUAUUCGGUUGUUCAUUCUUCUGCCUCACAAAAGAGCUGGAGGCAGCCUGCAAGAAAUGGGAGCUCUCUCUGGAACAUCAGGACGACCAGCGUGAAGGACAAGGACUCCGCGAUAAGGUGGACAAUCAUGCGCCGCUCAAAAGCAUGGUCAGUGGAAACCACGGGAUAGAAAAUACUUGCUUUCUUGCUGGGCGGGAGAGUAAGGAGCCAUCACAUUGCUGUGAUACAUAGGAUUGUCAAUUCGCAAAUUCUGAGCG
This 656-nucleotide long non-coding RNA is filed under the name Canis lupus familiaris (dog). RNAcentral's name for it is "lncRNA (ENSCAFG00000054056.1)". Lineage: Eukaryota; Metazoa; Chordata; Mammalia; Carnivora; Canidae. The record is from RNAcentral.